GACGAACGCUGGCGGCGUGCUUAACACAUGCAAGUCGAACGGAAAGGCCCCCUUGCGGGGUACUCGAGUGGCGAACGGGUGAGUAACACGUGAGUAACCUACCCUUGACUUUGGGAUAACUUCAGGAAACUGGGGCUAAUACCGGAUAGGAGCUCCUGCUGCAUGGUGGGGGUUGGAAAGUUUCGGCGGUUGGGGAUGGACUCGCGGCUUAUCAGCUUGUUGGUGGGGUAGUGGCUCACCAAGGCUUUGACGGGUAGCCGGCCUGAGAGGGUGACCGGCCACAUUGGGACUGAGAUACGGCCCAGACUCCUACGGGAGGCAGCAGUGGGGAAUAUUGCACAAUGGGCGGAAGCCUGAUGCAGCAACGCCGCGUGCGGGAUGACGGCCUUCGGGUUGUAAACCGCUUUCGCCUGUGACGAAGCGUGAGUGACGGUAAUGGGUAAAGAAGCACCGGCUAACUACGUG
RNAcentral lists this ribosomal RNA (465 nucleotides) under uncultured bacterium. Its description in RNAcentral is "partial 16S ribosomal RNA". It matches the Rfam family "Bacterial small subunit ribosomal RNA", at positions 28 to 507 of the family's 1533-position model. The record is from RNAcentral.